UAUUCGAGAAGUAUACCUCUCUUUGAGAAACCUUGUAACUCCAAAUUAAUUGGAUCAUUUAAGGUUCUUACUAGGAAUUCAUCCAUGAAGGUGAUUCCAGCAAGAAAACUAAACCGCACAGGUAUGAUGAUCGAGACAGAAAGCGCAAAUACUUUUCUGUCAAUACUACAUGACUUAUGACAAAUGACAUCUGAAAAGCGGUAUGCAGUGGUAGGCUUCAAUGAUCAUAGUGUGGGUAUCAUCUCCACAACCUGGAUUGAAAAAUCUGAUGAUGAAACCAUAUUGUGCUGGUGGCCACGGAGCAGGCAUGCAGUUAGUGCCCAAAAGCAUGAAAAGCCAGACAC
Molecule: non-coding RNA, 344 nt
Organism: Procambarus clarkii (red swamp crayfish)
Lineage: Eukaryota; Metazoa; Arthropoda; Malacostraca; Decapoda; Cambaridae
Source: RefSeq, a predicted model, not a curated record